UGUUGUACUUGUGAGCAAUUUCCACAGCGAUGAUCCUGGGAGGGCCUUUGCGAUCCUCAAAGAAUAGCCCGUACCUCGGCAAGAACGUCAGUGCGAGACGACUCCUCCGAACCCACAUUCCUGGAAAUCCUGUGCCUGUGAGACGCUUGGCAGAGGCCAGGCAUUACAAGAACCAAGAAGAAAAGCUCAGGCCGUGGAAAAAUAAGAGCUCCUCGGAGAGAUGAUUUUGACCGUCUGCGUAGGAAUUGCAAAACAAGUAUGUGUAGGAGGCAAAAGCUUCCACCGACCACACAAAUCCAGAAGAUGUUCCUCUCGAAAUCCUGCCAUCUGCAACAGAAUCAACAGACCGAUUGCAAGGUGUGGGCAAAACCAAAGAUGUCAACCACAAGGAGUGAAGGGUAGCGACUGUGGUUUGAUCACCUAUGAUCAAACGUAGAACUGUUUGGCAUGCGAUUCUCACACUUCAUUUUCCUCCGUCACAACAAAUGCUAUCACUCAGAAAUUUGAGUAGUUCUUAGCUUACCCCGAAUACUUUCUUUUCUUCAUGCUGCUCAUUCCUGGCCAUGGAUUCUGCAAAGUGAAGGAGUUCUAAAACUUAGGUGAUCAACCUCGAUAGCUACUGUAGAUAUUUCUCUCUGUAAAUUAACUGGAAAAAAAAAAUCCCUAGAAGCAAACAAAGCUUCGCAGCACGUUGACUGGAAACCAUGUGCAUUUACA
Non-coding RNA from Physcomitrium patens, 717 nucleotides. Lineage: Eukaryota; Viridiplantae; Streptophyta; Bryopsida; Funariales; Funariaceae. The record is from RefSeq and is a predicted model, not a curated record.